Molecule: ribosomal RNA, 468 nt
Filed under: uncultured bacterium
Lineage: Bacteria
Description: partial 16S ribosomal RNA
Rfam family: Bacterial small subunit ribosomal RNA
Source: RNAcentral
GACGAACGCUGGCGGCGUGCUUAACACAUGCAAGUCGAACGGAAAGGCCCUGCUUUUGUGGGGUGCUCGAGUGGCGAACGGGUGAGUAACACGUGAGUAACCUGCCCUUGACUUUGGGAUAACUUCAGGAAACUGGGGCUAAUACCGGAUAGGAGCUCCUGCUGCAUGGUGGGGGUUGGAAAGUUUCGGCGGUUGGGGAUGGAUUCGCGGCUUAUCAGCUUGUUGGUGGGGUAGUGGCUUACCAAGGCUUUGACGGGUAGCCGGCCUGAGAGGGUGACCGGCCACAUUGGGCCUGAGGUACGGCGCAGUCGCCUACGGGAGACAGCGGUGGGGAAUAUUGCACAAUGGGCGGAAGCCUGAUGCAGCGACGCCGCGUGCGGGAUGACGGCCUUCGGGUUGUAAACCGCUUUCGCCUGUGACGAAGCGUGAGUGACGGUAAUGGGUAAAGAAGCACCGGCUAACUACGUG